CGGACCCGUCCCGGGUCUGGCGGCCCGACCCCGGUACCUGGCACGGCCGGGGCGG
This 55-nucleotide non-coding RNA is filed under the name Nonomuraea sp. SBT364. RNAcentral's name for it is "L17-Actino-Proteobacteria ribosomal protein leader". It matches the Rfam family "L17-Actino-Proteobacteria ribosomal protein leader". Lineage: Bacteria; Bacillati; Actinomycetota; Actinomycetes; Streptosporangiales; Streptosporangiaceae. The record is from RNAcentral.